UCUGCAUCAUAAAAUAUAUUUGUCAUAAUUAGUGGCAAAAAAAAAAACUUUUCAAUACAUUUCAAACGCAGCUUUGUAUAUUUGAAAAAGAAAACUACUUUAUGUAGUUUACACUUUAUUGACUUAUGUGUUAUUCUUCAUUCGACGUGACCAGUUUUGCUCUUAUUAACGGAAAACUUGAAUGUAUUUGGCACAGCUCCAAAAUGUGCCUUUCUUGAAGCCGCUUGAAAGGGGAGGGGGGUAUUUUUUUUUUUUCUUUGCAAAAGCUCUAUAGGGUGUAAGACGGAGGAAUAAAAGACAGAAAGAAAGAUGGCAGUAAUUGUAAUAUCCUGAGAUUUUUUUUUUUUUUUUUUUUUCGCUCAGCCAAAAAAUUCGUGCCAUUGAGCAAGUUUCACAGGGCUGCCGCUGACUCGCUGCAGGACACAUAAAAUCUGAUCAAGUUCAGAGACGCGCUGAGUGCUUCAAGCGGCGCUUUUUAACUCCAAGCCUUUCACAUCCCUUUCCACCCCCCCCCUCUCAAUCUGUCCCAGGAAAGGAGCUCACAUUCUUUAUUUUAGGGGAUCUGGACCCCAAAAAAAAAAAAAAAAAAUUCAAAUCAGUCCUUCAUUCUGCUUUCGCCCUCAUCCUACCGCAUUCACUCCAGAACAUUUCCUCGAGAAAGAGUUAUAGAUUGAAAAGCUCCUGGCUAUCUUCACCCUCUAUGGCUCCUUCAUGAUGGCCCCCUAAUCUCCGACAGUGUGGUUCCAUGAAUCUGUGGGUGCAUGAAUAAUGCUGAGGAGCCAAGAGGAAAAAAAAAUCCACUCCCUCCUUCCAUCUUAUUACCACUCAGUUGGACUCAGCCUGCACAGUGAGGCUGUGGAUCCAUUAGUGAGUCCCAGCACUGAUAAUGAAGCCACAGAGGUGGUCUGAGCCAGUGUGGCACAGGAGCUGGAGCACGAGAGGAAGGUAGAUUAGGAUAAUUACCUGGCCACGGGGGAACGAUGAGAAAGAUGUCUCACUUCCUGCAGGCCUCGAUUGGAGAAGGACCAAGUGCAAUAUAAUCAGGUGUCCUCCACAUCCCCAAUGUGAGUGUUUGUGUUUAUAUAUUUAUUUAUUGUUUAUGUAGCUGUGGUUUAGCUCUCUCACAUAUACUGUAAGACCUAAAUAUCCACACUCACAGAGACUUUGAAGAGCCUAUGAGGUCAGGUUUUAAAUUAUGGUCUGCACCCACACCGGGCUUUCACUCCCCACUCCUGUAAAUCCAUUUUCCACACAAUGCAUUUCAAAUCAAAGCAGCGUCACCAUAACAUGCCUUAGGAAACAUUAAGCCAUAGUGCAUCACUUUCAUGUAUGAUAGCAUAGCCCCUGUAUGCUUUGAUGUGCUCACUUUUUUUAAUGCUUUAUUAAUAAUAACACACUGGCUCCUUCUCACACCAACAUCAGCUCGUGGUGCUCCUUUCUCUCCUCCUGAACUACAUCCCUCACUCCUUCCAUGCCUCAGCUCCUUCUUCCCUCCCCAGCCCCUGAGCCUUGUCUUGGGAUUGGCCUAUUUGAGUUUGGAAGGAGGGGGGGGGGGUGGAUUAGAGGGAAUGACAUGGGCCUUGAGAUGAAGAGAGUGACAAAGACCUAUCAGAGGGCAGAGAGUACACAGCGCUGCAUCAUCAUUGGUUGCUGUGGAAAUCAGACACGUCUUCAUUUCUUCCAGCCAUCUUCUCCAAGUGCCCAGCUUUCAUUUCCACGCCCGGGGAGGGAAGCAGGGAGAGGAAGAGAGAGAGAGAGGGGUGGGGGUGGUGGUGGUUCAGGAUUAGAGUUUCUGUUUGCACGUUUAAGUGUGUGCACAUGUGUGUUUGCUUGCCAUGCUGUGUGCAGUAAACAUCGUAGAGAUACAGAGGGAUGAGCGCGUAGACACUGAUAGCUCUCACCUCCUCCAAAGCUGGCCAAAAUACAAAUGCUGGAGCAGAUUUUCUAGUGUUGUUCUAGCCGAACAGUGGCUAUGAAUGGGAUGCCUGAUUCAUAGACAUGUAAAACCUACUUAGGAUUCACUGAUUUCUCAUAUUAUUUCAGCUUUAUCUCUGGAUAUUUUUGUUUUAGUGUUGCAGAGAAGGUAUCCUAAAGCACACAAUGGCUGUAUUUCACUAUUUGCUAUUUUCUUUCUGACAGUUUCAAAGUGAUGUUGGCAAUUUACUAGAUCACUUAGCAGCUCCCCACAAUUCACAUGUGUGCGCACAGACAUCUGCUGAUUUGAUUUUCUGCUUUUGUGUUUUCUUUUUGUUUGUGUUCCUUUUUUGAUGUUUGUUUUGUCUUUCUGUUAUGUUGCAUUAUUGAAUGUCGACUUGUGUUGUAUUAUAAUUUCAUCCCACCACUUCUGCAGCAGUUCCUCCAGUCAUUUCAAUGCAAUCUGUGCUUGUUUUCUAGGAAAAAAUAAAUAUAUUUAAUAUACUAAAGUACCUCAUUUCUGUUAUGUUCAAACUGUGCUCUGUGCACCUACUAUUCCAAAAGCUCUUUGCUGACUUGCAUGUAUUUAAUUUGUCACACAUUAUAUACUAGCAUGUAUGCACGCUCAAACCAAUUAUUCAGUGUUAUGCAAUGUUUUAUACACAAUAUUGACAGCAGUCUGCAGUGGAAACCCUUCCUAAAGUUUUCAUAUGAAGAAUGUGCCUGUUGAGCUUGUUGUGCACCAGACUGUUGUCAGUAUUUGCCUGCUUGUUAGGAUGCAGCCAGUUGACUCUGGCUGUCUGAACAGCGAUAUGAUGGGAGCAGUGGGGCUGGGGCCCAGCCGACUUCUCUCUCCUCCUUGUCCAUAAUAGAUCUGCGUAGUCUGCAAGCCCUCUGGAGGCACCAAGCUCCGCUCAAUGCCAACCCUGGCCAGAUCGAUCGCAGAGGCCAUCCCAUCGCAGAGACCAGGGGUCAGCUUCAAAGGCUUCCUACCCACUUCCUGCCACCUGGUGUUCUAUUUCGGACAAUGGGUACAUUUCCUUUCAGUUCCCUCCACCCUCGUGCCCUUCUACGAACAGGUUAAGGACAUGGAGCCAGUACAGCUCCUUCCUGUGAUCUCCUCCCCACUCACCAACACAGGGAGAAAGGGUGAGAGAUCAGUCUCAUCCAAACUCCACCCAAUUGCACUCAUUUGAUGUCAAUAUCUGCUUUUGAUUUAAUGAUGGCCUAAGAAUGCAAAGCUCUCUACCCAAGUGAUGGGCUGAUUUUUGAUUAGGUUACAUUGUUCAUGGACCAAAUUUAAAUGUAUAUACUGUACCACAUCCACAUAAUUCUCAAUGCAGUCACUGACAAAAUAAUCACAUUAACACAGCAUUAUUAUUCAUAUAUGAGAUAUAUUUUAAUGGCAUUGUCAUAUAAUAUGAUACAAACGUUAGUUCAGGUAAUAGCUUGUUUAUAAUGGUGCAUUAAAUUAGAUGAACUUCUUGGCUCUCACUUGAAACAUGUUUCAUUAUUAACUGGACAACAGAUUUGAUAUGGUAUGAAUAUCUCCAUCUCUCUCUCCCUGUUAGUCAAGUAACAAAUGGCAGGGCUAUCGAACACACAUUUUAUCUCCAUGAGGGCUGUUGGACAAUUAGCUCCAAGAAUACAUAUUAAUCAAUCGAGAAUUUUGAAUUUGCUUAUUAAGCCCAGCCAUUUUUUUUUCCCCCCCCCUCCGAUACAUUAGCAGAUCUCAGUAUGUCCGCUACUCUUGUGAACAGGGAUGAGAAGGAGAUAGAGGGAGAGGAAAUAAAGGUCUGAUGAGUUUGGCAAAGAGAGGAUGGAGGCUGAGACAGAUGGCAUGAAGUCUGCAGCACUCUGGCGUGGCUCGCCUGGUGCUAAAAUCCUCCUCUCUCACAUUCCAACAAAUCCUACCAGGAGGCUCGGGAGUCUGUCACACCACUCCAAGGAUCCACAAGGCUCUCUU
Molecule: long non-coding RNA, 3880 nt
Organism: Larimichthys crocea (large yellow croaker)
Lineage: Eukaryota; Metazoa; Chordata; Actinopteri; Sciaenidae
Exons: 5
Source: RefSeq, a predicted model, not a curated record